GACCCGCGCGCUCCAGUAGCAGCACACUGAUGACAGCAGGUUCAAAUCGUCUAACCCGGAACAGGUUUUAACACUUAGUAUGAUCAUUUUUCAAGUGUCAAAUGUCAUAUUUUUGUAGACAUGAUUUUUUUUCCACUUAUCCAGUUUGCUUUUAAGGUGAUAAAAAUACAAAAACUAUUUAUAAAAAGCGUUUACAGGUGACUUGGACGUGUUAUCAUUUUUUUGCUUUUUUCAAGUGCCAACAGUACGUUUUACACGUGUUCUUUACACCUCACCAGUGCGCAUAUACAGGUGAUUAGAACACUUGUUAUGGUCAUUUUUGCACAUGUUCUAUAUACCUGUCCAGUGUGCUUUUACAGGUGCUUAGAACGCUCUAACCCAGAGUCUCACUCCAGAGACUGGGUGGGCCGAGCCCCGGGGACAUACUGGUUGUUAUUAGCUAGCAACCUGUGGCUCUCCAAGCAGCUAGAGGUGUGCGUCUUUGAGGACUCCUCCUGUGGCAGCAUUCUGCACAUGACUUUGUUCCACUGUCUGAGGCCUCCCGCCCAGAACCGCUCCAACAUGUUCUCUACCUUCUUCGUGGAGUAUUUCAUCAACGGAGACUUAAUUUCAACCAGUAGAGAAUGUGAAAUGCUUUAUUGAAAGAAGUUAAUGAUCCAAAUGUUAUAAUUACAUAAUAUAUGCAUUAUAAAUAUAAUUGUAAUAUUAUAAAUACAAGUUCAAUCUGUACUUCAAUGCACAUCUGUUGUGCAUUAUAAAAACAGGAGGAAAGAAGUGUAAAAGACAAAGGGAAAGAACAGAGGAGCAGGGAAGACAUUAUAUGAUUAAUGAAUUACAGUGCUACCCUAAUAAUCUCUCAGAGACCGUUAGAGAAAAUAAGGUAGUUAAAGAGACAAGUGUUCAACAGGAAUCUGUGUGUGUGGCCACACCUGGUGUCCACAUGAAGUGGCUGCAAAGUAA
Long non-coding RNA from Oncorhynchus nerka (sockeye salmon), 960 nucleotides. RefSeq lists it as uncharacterized. The record is from RefSeq and is a predicted model, not a curated record. Lineage: Eukaryota; Metazoa; Chordata; Actinopteri; Salmoniformes; Salmonidae. The transcript is spliced from 2 exons.